CCUACGGGAGGCUGCAGUGGGGAAUAUUGGGCAAUGGGGGAAAGCCUGACCCAGCAACGCCGCGUGAGGGAAGAAGGCUUUCGGGUUGUAAACUUCUUUUGUCAGGGAAGAGUAGAAGACGGUACCUGAAGAAUAAGCCACGGCUAACUACGUGCCAGCAGCCGCGGUAAUACGUAGGGGGCAAGCGUUGUCCGGAUUUACUGGGUGAAAAGGGCGUGUAGCCGGGUUGACAAGUCAGAUGUGAAAUCCUGCGGCGUAACCGCCGAACUGCAUUUGAAACUGUUGAUCUUGAGUACUGGAGAGGCAGAUGGAAUGCCUAGUGUAGCGGUGAAAUGCGUAGAUAUUAGGAGGAACACCAGUGGCGAAGGCGGUCUGCUGGACAGCAACUGACGGUGAGGCGCGAAAGCGUGGGGAGCAAACAGGAUUAGAUACCCGAGUAGUC
RNAcentral lists this ribosomal RNA (442 nucleotides) under uncultured bacterium. RNAcentral's name for it is "partial 16S ribosomal RNA". It matches the Rfam family "Bacterial small subunit ribosomal RNA", at positions 338 to 795 of the family's 1533-position model. The record is from RNAcentral.